GCAGUCGAGCGAAUGGAUUAAGAGCUUGCUCUUAUGAAGUUAGCGGCGGACGGGUGAGUAACACGUGGGUAACCUGCCCAUAAGACUGGGAUAACUCCGGGAAACCGGGGCUAAUACCGGAUAACAUUUUGAACCGCAUGGUUCGAAAUUGAAAGGCGGCUUCGGCUGUCACUUAUGGAUGGACCCGCGUCGCAUUAGCUAGUUGGUGAGGUAACGGCUCACCAAGGCAACGAUGCGUAGCCGACCUGAGAGGGUGAUCGGCCACACUGGGACUGAGACACGGCCCAGACUCCUACGGGAGGCAGCAGUAGGGAAUCUUCCGCAAUGGACGAAAGUCUGACGGAGCAACGCCGCGUGAGUGAUGAAGGCUUUCGGGUCGUAAAACUCUGUUGUUAGGGAAGAACAAGUGCUAGUUGAAUAAGCUGGCACCU
Molecule: ribosomal RNA, 431 nt
Filed under: Bacillus cereus
Lineage: Bacteria; Bacillati; Bacillota; Bacilli; Caryophanales; Bacillaceae
Description: bacterial SSU rRNA
Rfam family: Bacterial small subunit ribosomal RNA
Source: RNAcentral